RNAcentral lists this transfer RNA (72 nucleotides) under Camelus bactrianus (Bactrian camel). It matches the Rfam family "tRNA". From Rfam's summary of the family: Transfer RNA (tRNA) molecules are approximately 80 nucleotides in length. Their secondary structure includes four short double-helical elements and three loops (D, anti-codon, and T loops). Lineage: Eukaryota; Metazoa; Chordata; Mammalia; Artiodactyla; Camelidae. The record is from Rfam by way of RNAcentral. RNAcentral also lists the same sequence under 1 other name.
GUGGGUAUAGCUCAGUGGUAGAGCACAUGCUUAGCAUGCAUGAGGUCUUGGGUUCAAACCCCAGUACCUCCA